AGGGGAAGAUUUCCUGGUAGGGGAGGAAUGGACAGAGACAGGUUUAUCAACCCAUAUGGUGGGAGAGGCAACAUAUAUCAUCAGACUUCUGGUGAUCAAGAAGAAAAAUGGAAGCAUGACCUCUAUGAUCAGUCAAACAGGAGCCCACCUCCAAAGACCGAGGAAGAGCAGAUUGCUAAAGUUGAAGCGUUGUUGGCGCUGUAGUUAUCUUCUCUAUCCGUCUGGAGUUAUUUGUGAUGUUAGAUCAUCAUGUAUUUGGUUUCAUCUUUGUUGAACGCUGUCCUUUUAUUCUAUAUAUUUUGCGUAUCUAUGGGGAUUAGGACAUCGUUGAGCUAUUCCAUUUAGAGUGAAGGUAUUGUUCUAGACAAUCAUGAUUCACGAGUUUCGUACUGUGGGAACCAUGGAGCAAAGUACAAGAGUAAAGAAUAUGCUUCACGAAUGCUUUUGGAGCUGGAAUGCCUCUUUAGCGUGUUGACCUCGUGUUGAAGUUGUACUCGGACUGUGUGGGCAAAUUGCACACAGCCACGCGACACAAUCUAUUCUCGUUGGGGUUAUGGUAAGUACAUUGGUGUUGAUCUCAUGUAAUCUUGAGACAACUUAAUAAACAAUCUUGAGACAAUUUAAUAAAAAAUUUGUACAAGGGUUGCCUUUUUAAGUUGUCUCAUAAUAAUUCUAUUUUCUUAAUUUAUGCAUAGAAAAAAAGAAAUAUUAUGAGUUGUAUAAUAACCACAACUUGUACAGUGGUGGAGUAGUCGUCUCAUAGUCCUAAAGUCUAGCCUAUGAGAUGGUUGUUUCACAAAACAACAACAUCUUUCUCUCCUUUCCCUCUCUCAUCCAUAUUAGUAAAAAUCCUACAUGGCAUUGCACGAGACGACCUACAAAACUGCUGAGGUGUAGUAAUGUACUUGCUCUAAGCGUAAUGCCUCUUCACUGGGUAUUGCACCAUCCUCGAGGAACAUCCCAAUUCCCAAAAUUCCAAAGGCAUUAAGUCAAUUAAGGCAUAAUCUUUGAUUAAUAGCUUGAUUUGUGCUGUCAUAACCAUGUAAUGCAAGAAAACUCAUCUAUGAAUUGAGGACACUUAGUUGGUUAGGUUACUGUGGUGUAACCUUCGUCUUUGAAUUUGAUGAUUAUAUUUUCUUUAGAUUAAAUGAUUAUAUUUUCUUUAGAUUAAAUCCCCAGCUGCACUAAUGCGCAGGAACAUGGAUGCUUUUAGAAAAUUUUAUAGUUUUAUGUAAGGAACCCAAACUAUAUAUUCACGAUGAAAUGUUUCUUUCUCUUUAUAAACUCUAUGUUACGUCACCCAAAUAUUAGAUGUGGUGAUUUAUUUAAGAGAAUGUAUCCUUAUCAAUUGUUUGAGAGUUUUCCUUAAUCGUGGUUUUGUAACUGUUGGAUACCGAUCUACCUAUUCGUUUGCCUCUCCCAUUUCUUCUUCCUCCCUCAACCUUCCCCACGUGACCUUCUUCCGACGUUUAACCCUGACGUUGGGCGUGACGUCCUCGCCACAACCACCUCCCACCUGGCUCCAACGUCCAUGCUCCCUCCUCCACCGCCCUGCCACUAUCCAAUGCGAAUCUAUAAGAUCCAGAUGCUGCUGUUGCCUCCACCGUACGUUGGGGGGUCUUACCAUCCAGCCCCGGUGACGCCCUCGUUGUCUCUGUUCUACCGUCGCUCUCACACCUCCACCGCUAGUAGGCGAGCCGCCUGGAGCUCCUUUAUUCCCAAAGCCACAUGUGACCCAUCUCCACUCGCAAACCCUAACCCUGAAUCCUUCUCUCCAAUUCAGUACCACUAAAAAUUACGUUGACUAACGAGAAAACUCUUGUAUUGAAGAAAACUCGAUGACACAAGAGGCCCAUAAAUCCACACCUGCAUUGAAGAAAACUCUUGUAUUGGAGGAGAAAAGCAAUGACAUACAGUCAAAAACUCGUUCGAAGAGCUCAAUAGAUUCAUUGUCAGCACAUGACAUGUUGCUAUCAACUCUGCUCAAACCAUGCCUUGCAACACGACUAAGUGAUUUAAGUAGGUUCAGAGAUAUUGAAAUGGAUGGCUUCUUUUCAAUACAAACUCUCAAAAUUACCCAGCAUCUACUAUCCAAUGCCGGAUCAAAAGGCUGUGACAUCUUUUUACUAUUCUCAGGAAAAUUUAAGAUAGACUGCACCCAGUUUCCAAUAAAUGACACCAGACGUGAUAGCUGAAUGCUGUGCACCGUAUGGCCAUGGCUUGAGUUCUUUGACAGUGUGGUUAAAAAUUCAACUGCUAGCUCAAUCUUUCUGCACAAAUAAACAUGUCGUUACGAAGAUUCCAAACAAGAAGAUUAAAAUAAGGUAAAUCCAAACAUGAUUCAAACAAUUUAUCCCAUGAGUAAAAUAGCACCAAAAUGCUCACUUCCGUAUGAAUCAAAGAGAUCCCAUUGGGUAUUCAUGUACAUAAUAUGAGCUAAUUUGGCCAUCUUACUGCUUUUAAAAGCCCAGAAAGUACUAAGGGAAAGUACUAUUUGAAAUAAAUCGAUGUAAUUAUAGUGCAAAAUCGACAACUAUGAAGCCAAGCUAAAGCUGCCUACAACAAAACUGUAUCUCUCAAAAUCCUAUGUGCACUAAAUUAAGCAAAUCGCCUCGUGCAUUUAGUAAUGACAGUAAACAAGCAAUCCACAAUCCUCCACAACUGAGCCGACUAAUUCAGCAGACCAGAGAAGCAUAAUCACUGGAUAACUGAAAUUCCUAGUCACGGGAUGGCACGAGCUAAAGUUCACUGAAACGGAAGCAGAAGUGUUAAGCGGGUGACCUUUCGAGCGAGAGCUCCUUGCCCUGGAGGGAGAGGACGAGGUCGAGGUGUUCCCCCGCGCCCUUGGGGCCGCCGCCGCCGUCCAAGCCCAGCCUGGCGCACUUGAGCUCGCUCGGCCCCUCUCCGUCGCGAGGCGGCGAUCGGCUCCGCCGCCGCUUCCUCGCUGCGCCGGGGCCCGCGGUAGCGGCAGCCGUCUCCAUGGCGAUGGCCGUCGCGAGAGCGGAAGUGGAGGCUGGCUAGGGUUCUGGGUUUUUGGGACACGAUGCCGGCUAUUCCCUCGUCCCGUUUGAUUUCUCAGUGCUCAAAGACGCGCGCCGUGAAGUCCCCUGCCGCGCCCAACCAGUCUCCACAGCAACAGUACGAAUCUUAAAGCUGGCUAGAACCAGACCGGCUCACGGCGUGGAAUGAGAUAGUCCGGGCCCAACCCAACCCACAAUUCUAGGUCCGGAUUCCAGGUACAAGCUACAAACCCUAACCCAUCCAAAGCAAUGGAGGCUGGAGCGGAAGGGGAGAAGACGAUGACGACGAGGGAGCCGCACGAGGCGUCCCGCCGCGAGCGCGAGGGGCGCGACUCGCACGGGAGGCGCCCCCACUCCUCGUCCAGGUCGCGGAGGGACGACCCCAGGUACCAAUCCGCUGCACCUCCGUCGGGAUUCUCGAUCUGGUUGCGAUUUGGUUUGGAUUAGAAUGCUGGUGUUUGGGGGGAUCGGGAAUUGUUUCUGCGACUUGCAAUUUCUUAAAGUUAAUGCGAUUUGUAUCCUUAUUAACCCAUUUUCGCAAUCGCUUUUGGUAGCCCGAGGAGAAGAAGAGAUGACAGGAGGCAUGAAUCGGAUAGGGCGCACUAUAGAAGUCGAGAUGAAGAAUCUGCGAAGGUGUCGGACCGUGAUCAGAAGCGGAACAGAGAUGCUGAGCAGCGCGAUGAUCCUCCGAAUGCUGAGUCGAAGUCAGUGAGUGAUGCCAAGAAUGACCCGUCCACCAGGCGUGAGAGAUCUCCUAGGGGAACCAAACGGUUUUCAGAGUCGAGAGAGGCUUGGCGGCCUCGGCCUUUCUUUCAGGUUUUUAUCUUUUCUCCAUUUAUAAAAGGGCACAACGCCAAUGGCUUGUGCUCUGUUUCAAAUGGUUUGAUGCUAUAGCCUAUAGUGUGCUUAUACUAUAAUGGCCUGAAUAACCUUUUGCAUUUGCAUUGUUAGAGAGCUGUCAUAUUAAAUUGCUGAACAGCAAGGUAUUUCACGUUCUGUAACCUGACCUGUGCUGGAAAUGUACCUAGCAGAUUAGUGUUAGGUAGAUCCAUUGGUCAAUACUUGCUGGUCAUGCCGAGUGCAUCCUGAUUAUGACAGCUCAGCUCAGGCUGUGCCGAGUGCCAAGUGGCUGCCCUAUCUGUUGAAAAGAACCAACGCCACAUUAUUUACUGCCUUUGUAGGGAGUAUUGUCGAAUAGGCAAAUAGUGCUUUGAUAUCGUUAAUGGCAUUUAGUCUACAUUUGCCAGUAUUCCCUGUUGGUGUUAUUCUGAAUAACUGCUAUGUAUUAAUGUUCAGUCGAAUUCAGGGGCUAGGGAGUAGAGAUGAUUCCAAUGUAAACUUUAUCUGUUAAGAUCAAGAAGUGAUUUGCCAUUUUAUAGAUGUUCCCUAUUCUAAUCAACAACCUUAGAUAAAUUUGAUUUGAGGACAUGAUAGUGCUGUUUCUUGCUGGUUUGAAUGGGAAGUACAUCAGAUACUCGUGUUACUUCUUGCUGGUUUGGAUGAGGAGUACUGAAGUACAUCACUAUUCUUUCUCAUAAGUAGAUUAUGCAAUUGCAACUUAUUUUAGUUUAUAGUUGAAGUUCAACUGUUUAAACAGGCUAAGCUAUUUCUUUCGUACACAUACAGUCUCUUUGUGACUCUUGUUGAUUCUCAUCUCUAGCCUACCCCAACUUGAUUGGGAUUAAAAGGCUUUGUUGUUGCGUACAUAUAGUCUCGUUAUAAAAUGGAUCUGUGUUAUCAUAGCUAGAUAGUAGAAUCGACAUGUGAGCUGAUCAGCUCAAAUUACUGCCCCUUUUUUCCAUACAUAAGUUAUGCACUAUAAUUUAAGCUCUAUUUGUCAUUUUGCAGAAAUCUAUCGCUGGCCUAUUUCAGUGAUUUAAUUUCAUCUAAUGCAGUUUGUGCAUAAAGAAUAAUAAGUUGUUGCUAAAACUAUACAUUUUUCUGUUAAUUUGUCAUACAUAAAUAACAUAUUCCUCCUGAUGUAGUGGGAGUACUUUUAUGACGCAUGCAUUCAAAUGAACUGUUUAUAACAAUGCUAGACUACCUGCACUUGUAUGUACAGCACAAUGAGCGUGGAAGUGCUGGGCAAGGUGGUCGGCGCUAUGACCGUCAGGCUAGUGGUGAGCUGCUUUCUUAGUUCAUACUUUGGGCACUUAUUUUCCAUCUUUUAUGCAUGCUAAUUUAUUAUUGUUGUUCUUAAGGCUACGGAAGACAGAGGGAUCAAAAGGAACAUGAUAGAGAUAAACAAAAGGAUGCGGGGCACAGUUUGCAGGGAAAGGUUGAGCAGGAUGAUGGUGAUUCUACAUGGAGGCAUGAUGGAUUUUUCCAGUUGGAGGAAGAAGCACCCCUGGCCAAGAAGAGGCCACCUUUUCAGGAGAUGAAGAUGCAAGACUCUGCUGCCACUGUUACAGAUCUGGACUCUGGAUCAAGGAAACCUGAUCAGCCUGGGCCCACUUCUGCAAUAAGAGAAGAAAGGAGAAAUUAUCACCCAAGGGGAUUUGGAAAUCAUAGACCAUUUAUAAGGCCAGAUGAUCGAGGUUUCAGACGUGGAUUUCCUGACCACAGGAGUGAAGGCCAGAGAAAUGGGUAUGAUUCAAGGGGAAGAUUUCCUGGUAGGGGAGGAAUGGACAGAGACAGGUUUAUCAACCCAUAUGGUGGGAGAGGCAACAUAUAUCAUCAGACUUCUGGUGAUCAAGAAGAAAAAUGGAAGCAUGACCUCUAUGAUCAGUCAAACAGGAGCCCACCUCCAAAGACCGAGGAAGAGCAGAUUGCUAAAGUUGAAGCGUUGUUGGCGCUGUAGUUAUCUUCUCUAUCCGUCUGGAGUUAUUUGUGAUGUUAGAUCAUCAUGUAUUUGGUUUCAUCUUUGUUGAACGCUGUCCUUUUAUUCUAUAUAUUUUGCGUAUCUAUGGGGAUUAGGACAUCGUUGAGCUAUUCCAUUUAGAGUGAAGGUAUUGUUCUAGACAAUCAUGAUUCACGAGUUUCGUACUGUGGGAACCAUGGAGCAAAGUACAAGAGUAAAGAAUAUGCUUCACGAAUGCUUUUGGAGCUGGAAUGCCUCUUUAGCGUGUUGACCUCGUGUUGAAGUUGUACUCGGACUGUGUGGGCAAAUUGCACACAGCCACGCGACACAAUCUAUUCUCGUUGGGGUUAUGGUAAGUACAUUGGUGUUGAUCUCAUGUAAUCUUGAGACAACUUAAUAAACAAUCUUGAGACAAUUUAAUAAAAAAUUUGUACAAGGGUUGCCUUUUUAAGUUGUCUCAUAAUAAUUCUAUUUUCUUAAUUUAUGCAUAGAAAAAAAGAAAUAUUAUGAGUUGUAUAAUAACCACAACUUGUACAGUGGUGGAGUAGUCGUCUCAUAGUCCUAAAGUCUAGCCUAUGAGAUGGUUGUUUCACAAAACAACAACAUCUUUCUCUCCUUUCCCUCUCUCAUCCAUAUUAGUAAAAAUCCUACAUGGCAUUGCACGAGACGACCUACAAAACUGCUGAGGUGUAGUAAUGUACUUGCUCUAAGCGUAAUGCCUCUUCACUGGGUAUUGCACCAUCCUCGAGGAACAUCCCAAUUCCCAAAAUUCCAAAGGCAUUAAGUCAAUUAAGGCAUAAUCUUUGAUUAAUAGCUUGAUUUGUGCUGUCAUAACCAUGUAAUGCAAGAAAACUCAUCUAUGAAUUGAGGACACUUAGUUGGUUAGGUUACUGUGGUGUAACCUUCGUCUUUGAAUUUGAUGAUUAUAUUUUCUUUAGAUUAAAUGAUUAUAUUUUCUUUAGAUUAAAUCCCCAGCUGCACUAAUGCGCAGGAACAUGGAUGCUUUUAGAAAAUUUUAUAGUUUUAUGUAAGGAACCCAAACUAUAUAUUCACGAUGAAAUGUUUCUUUCUCUUUAUAAACUCUAUGUUACGUCACCCAAAUAUUAGAUGUGGUGAUUUAUUUAAGAGAAUGUAUCCUUAUCAAUUGUUUGAGAGUUUUCCUUAAUCGUGGUUUUGUAACUGUUGGAUACCGAUCUACCUAUUCGUUUGCCUCUCCCAUUUCUUCUUCCUCCCUCAACCUUCCCCACGUGACCUUCUUCCGACGUUUAACCCUGACGUUGGGCGUGACGUCCUCGCCACAACCACCUCCCACCUGGCUCCAACGUCCAUGCUCCCUCCUCCACCGCCCUGCCACUAUCCAAUGCGAAUCUAUAAGAUCCAGAUGCUGCUGUUGCCUCCACCGUACGUUGGGGGGUCUUACCAUCCAGCCCCGGUGACGCCCUCGUUGUCUCUGUUCUACCGUCGCUCUCACACCUCCACCGCUAGUAGGCGAGCCGCCUGGAGCUCCUUUAUUCCCAAAGCCACAUGUGACCCAUCUCCACUCGCAAACCCUAACCCUGAAUCCUUCUCUCCAAUUCAGUACCACUAAAAAUUACGUUGACUAACGUUGAUACCAAUUUCAAUCGAUUAAUAAGCAGUAAAUCUCCUUAGAUAAUGACCAUGAUACAUGUGCAUCUAUUAGUCUAAGAUGUGUCGUGGCUUCAGGUGAGCCAUUGCAAAUAUCCAAAAGAAGGAGAAAUACAAUAAGCACAUUGUAAUUAUUUUGUCACCUGCUCACUUCGAAAAAAUUUCGCACUUCCACUCAAAAGGCUCAAAACCCCUUCAAAAGAAAAAUCCCACACCCUAGAGCCCUCACUCUUCUCGCCAACGCAACUUCGCACCCAACCGCCGCCGGCCGCCGCGUCCCCUCCCCUCCCUCACCACGGACCCCCAAUGGCGUCGUCAUCGACGGCGACGCCGUCGCGCCGCUCCGUCUUCGACGCCGCCUACAUCCGCUCGGAGUUCUCCGCGGCCGGCAUCUCCGCGCACUUCAUCCCUCUAAUCUGGAAGUACGCCACUCUACGGCAGAAUCCUACGCGCACGCCACAAUCCCGCCCGUCUCGCUCCCUCCCUCCUCGUCGCCGUGUUUGAUUUUUUUUUUCUGUUUAACCUGAGGUGGUAUUCUCUCUGCGUGCGCAGGUAUGUGCUUCAGAACCCUUGGUGCGGCGACCUGUGCGGCGUCCCGUCGCUGCCGGCGACCGCGUACGCGCUCCUCCAACAGAAGUUCCGGCCGACCACGUCGACGCUAACCACUGCAGCGGACUCCAAGGACCGCACCACGACCAAGCUCCUCAUCCGCCUACAGGUGAUUUGGUUGGAUUACGCUACUUGCGCAGCCACAAAUGUCGGGUGUGGCGUGCGAACGUAUGCGAUCCACUGGCAUUUUGGAAAUUAGGCGGAAUUGGGGAUAUUGUUUAGUAUCCCUAAUUAUUUCUCUACCAUUCGCCAAUUUGCAUUCGGUUGCAGUGUCAGCGUACAUCAGCAAUUUUGCCUUGGUGAUUUUGAGCUUAUGGACCGAAUGCUUGUUUGCUUACUCAGCUGCAUAUAGAUAGGAAUGGAAUGUCGCACUUGCACAAUUGAUUUUCCUAUGUUUCCGGAAAACAAUACUUUGGUUUCGUGUUUUAUAUGGUUUUUUUAUGCUUGUGGAAGAUAAUAAUAUACCUCGAAAUAUUCCAUCCAUGUAGUUUUAUGUUUUGAAAUUGAAAUCAUCUCACAAUUGUCUUGGAUGCAAUAACAAGGAGCACCACGAUGCAGAUAUACCUUAGGUAUCAUUUUAUCUUAUACUCUUAGUUGGCACAGAUCCAAACUGCAACACCCGAACAACCCAGUUAUUAAGUAUAAAGUAUUUGUAGCGAAUAGAAGUAUAACUUGCAUGCCUUGAUCCACUUAUUGACCUGUUGCUUCCAUCAUCUAUACCAAAUGUUGGGGAGGAGCAUUUCUUUUCUGUUGCUAUCCUCAUUGCUAUUUGGCUAGAUAGUAGGAGGUUUGAGUCAUUUUCAAAAUGAACAGCUCGAGCCAUGGCAUUUUCAUUCUCUUUGUUUGGAAUUUGGAAUUUCUGCUUUAGUUCUUCUAGUAAGUCCAGCUGUACCCUUUGUAUUUUCUUUUCCCUUUGACUAUAUAUUUGUAGUUUUCAGCCAUCUUCUAAAUGAAUUGCUUAAGAUAUAAUGGUUUCAUUCUCCUUAUAAUAUUUGCUAUGACUUAUGGUACCAUCUCCUGUAUUACUUAGUCAGUAAUGCUACGAUUUCAGUUCCAACCCAUCUUUUUUGUCUAUUGAACUCCUUACAGGUCGACAACAUUGCUUGCAAGUUCAAUCUCAUGACCACCUCAUUUUCUCAACCUUGAUUUCUCUUUAUUUAUUGGUGAAAUUAAUUGAUGCCUGUGAAUUACCUACUUGUCCUUUUCUGUCAGAAAAAAAGCUUUUUCCACCUGGGUUUUGUAGUUUUUAACAUUGAAGAACACCAACUUAUUGGACUUCAAAAUGUGUGGUGUAGAAUGGGGAGUCUGUAGAAGCAGUAAUCAUGCGAUAUGACACAACACUGGGGAAAUAUGAUGGAAAGCCUCGCUCUGGAGGAGUGCGGUCAACUCUUUGUGUGUCAUCACAGGUAAAUAUAUCUGUUUUCUGUUGGAUGUCAGGUGCUCUUAAAUCUGGAAAAACUUGUUUCCAAUGGUUCAAAUCUUUUGCCAGAAGAUCUGUUCAGAUCUUUAUUCUCAUCAGUGUACUAUGAUUUGCGCUUGUGACUUUCUUGUUAAUGGUGUUAAUUUUUCUUCCACAUUACUAAACAGGUUGGAUGCAAGAUGGGCUGCAGAUUCUGUGCUACUGGAACAAUGGGCUUCAAAAGCAAUCUGUCUUCUGGAGAAAUUGUAGAGCAGUUGGUCCAUGCAUCGCGCUAUUCUCAGAUUCGAAAUGUUGUUUUCAUGGUAAGUUAAUUCAUUUAGUUUUAAGUUGCCUGAAAUUUCUAUUCAAAAGAAAGAAAAUUAAUGGCAGUCAAAUGCAAUGAUUAUGCACCUUUUGUAAUCCCUUUGAGUGAUAUUUUCAUCUUGACCAAGCUGACCAUAUGUAACAGUGUUACUUGGUUUUCUUGUUGAUUCUGUGAAUAAAUAAGGUCAGUAAGAUUCAUAGAUUGGAAAACUACAUCUCUUCUUUUGCUGACAUAGGUCACAUGUCACCAUCACAUUAGAUGGUACUCCUAUUUUGAUUAUUGUGAUAAUACUGAGCAUUAUUACCCUGAUUUUUUAUAUACUUCACGUACAGGGAAUUUACUUACAUACAAAGAGAAUUGGUUUUGCAAUUAUUACUGCUGUAGAACUGGUAAAAGAUUACUGCAAGUAUUACAUUUUGCAAGUUUCUUGUAUAGAAUGAAUGUUAGCAUUUUUUUUAGUGAGUUUACUUGAUCUACGGAUUCAGGUGGCAAAAUGGUGAUCUGCUUUUCUUUUGCUGGUGACAAUUGCUCUUGUAACUGAAACAGUUAUUACUGUUUUACCAAUAAAUGGAAUAGGGGCUUCCCCAUUUUAUGAAAAAAGUUGAUCUGCCAUUUGGUUAGUUCAUAGUAAACAGUUAUUAGAUUAAUUCUUUCUUGUUCAUGUUUCUGGCACUUAUUAGAUUAUAUGUGCUCUUCUCAUACGGGAAAUUAGCAAAGCUGUUUUGCUGAAUACUGUACAGUACAUAUGUGUGGGUUGCUUAAUGUUUGUGCAUGAUUAAAAUUGUAAAUUAUUACCUACGUAUGUGAGCAUCCUUCAAACUGGACAUUGUCAUGUCAUUAUUAAGAAGAAUGAUAAUAAAUUAUUUUUAUUUGUUGGACGUUAAACAAUUUUAGUGUCCUACAGACACUAGAGAAGUGUACUUUAUGUUCUUAUACUGCUGUAUAUGCAGGGAAUGGGGGAGCCAAUGAACAACUAUAAUGCUUUGGUUGAGGCAAUUGGAGUGUUUACGGGAUCUCCUUUUCAGCUUUCGCCUAAGAGAAUCACUGUAUCUACUGUAAGCAUACUUAACCAACUACUUAUUUGCUUGUGAAAUCAAAUUCUUGGGGUGGCUGUUGAAGUACUAUUUUUUAGUAGUAAAAUAUUUUUUAUAAACUAUAUGCUAAUGCUAUAUGCAGCUUACUGUGAAGUGGCUGCUGCCUGCUGGUAAACUUCUAGGUGUCCUACUACAUUUCUUCUGUGAUAAUCACAAUGGAGAAUAAAUGAAAAAAUGUUUGUUUAAUUAUGCAAAUAUCACUUGGUAAUUCUUGUAGUGACCAGAGGUGUGUUCUCUGGAUGAAUUGUUCUAUUCACCUUAUUGUUACUGCGCAUCUCUUUUUUAGCACUGUAGGAAUUUGAAUGCUAACAUUUGACGUCAUGUUCUCCUAAAAUCCAGUUACUUACGAAUAUGUGGUUCUUGUGCUCAACAUUUCUUUCCCUUAAUGUUAUUGCUGCUUGUAGGUAUGUAUUAUAGUACUGCAUGGUUUCCAUCAUGUUUUGUGGUAAAAACUUCCCAAUGCUUAACUUGCUCUUUAUGUUCUCUCAUUUGUUGAAGAUACUUUCGAUUUCUAUAUUGGCUUUGAAAUCAAGUGUGUUUUGCCAAUUUGUAUUUCUUGCUAAAAGUUAGUUGAAAGAUUCAGCUUUUGAAUUGGAGAUGCUGAAAGAUUGAAUUUUCUUAGUAAUUGGUGCAGCUGUAGUAAAUUCUACUGUUAAUCAUCCUGUUUCGUUGUGUAUGCAGGUUGGAAUCGUUCAUGCAAUCAAUAAAUUCCAUAAUGAUCUUCCACAUGUGAAUUUAGCUGUGUCAUUGCAUGCUCCUGACCAAGACAUACGUUGUCAGAUAAUGCCUGCUGCACGUGCCUUUCCUUUAGAAAAGCUAAUGAAUGCGCUACAGUCCUAUCAAAAUAAGAGGUGAGACAUCUCUUACCAGUGUCAAAUAUUAGCACAAAUAUUUGAUUUCUGAUCACACUUUCAUGUUUCAUCACAGCAACCAGACCAUCUUUAUUGAGUACAUAAUGCUUGACGGAGUUAACGAUCAGGAGGAGCAUGCACAUCAGCUUGGUAAACUGCUUGAAACGUUUAAAGCGGUGAGACACUGUUACAUCACUUCAUUUUAUCGUUAUUACCUUUGCUCUAGUUACUUUUUUUCUUGUUACCUGUUUGAUUUGCUCAAACAAGAUAUCCAACCAGGCAGUUUUGCUGUGGUUAAUUUCUGAUGUUAAUUAUUCCAUCCAUUUUGUAUUGCCUCCGCUAGUCUUAUUGUUCAAUCUUUCCCUUUAGUUUGCUUUUGACAUUUGUGUUUAGUAAUUCUGGUGCGCCAAAUUUGCUAUAGGUGACUUGAAUUGAUUCACAUCUUCAAUUGGUCUUUCUGGACCGCCUCCUAUUUCUACUAUGCACGGCAAAGUUUUGGCAACUAUCUAAAAUGAACAUGCUCUAAAUGUGUUCUUCAAAUCAUACUGGUUAGCAAGCACAAUAAUGCUACGGUCAUGAUUAUUUCCUUAAAGAUACAGUACUCCCAUCCAAGUGUAUAGGGUGCCUUUUAUUUUGGCACGGUUGCCAAAAUUAAACUUUGACAAUCGUUUUCUCACGUAAUAUAUCGUGCAGAGCUACAAAACCAACUCAUAUAUGAAUUUAGUUGGUAAUUUUCAUACACUGAACAUGCUUCUAAUUUGGCCAAGUUUUGGUAAGAUAUACGAAGUUCAAAUUUCCCUGAAACAUGUACACUAAAUAUAAUUGGAUGUAUUUAUUUUUACUUGUCAAUUCAGCUUUGUAUUUGGGAAUGGAAUCAACAAUAUGUUCUCUAAAUUAUAAACAGGUUGUAAAUCUGAUACCAUUCAAUCCAAUUGGGUCGUCAAGCAAUUUCAAGACAAGCAGUGACCAGAAUGUGAAGAAGUUCCAAAAGGUCAUAAGAGGCAUCUACAACAUCAGAACCACUGUUCGCCAGCAGAUGGGUCAAGACAUAGCUGGUGCUUGUGGACAGUUGGUGGUUAGCCUCCCAGAUGAAAGAUCAACUGGUGGUGCAACCCUUCUGUCAGACAUUGAAGACUUUCGGAUCUGACCUCUCUCUCCCGUCUUUUACUUUUAUCAUCGUUUCAAAAUCAAAUCCUAACUAGCCUUACAUGAUAUUGUAACUAGUGCUAUAGUUUCAGUGAAGCUUUAAAGUAUGGAGAUGUUGAGUUUGUCCAUUGUGGUGUUUCCCUUCUGUUCUGGGCUGCACAAUUUUGCUGUAAACACAAUGGUGAAGACUCCUGCUUUUGUGGAUAGGUGGCAACUGAAGCGGUUGGUAACUUGGUAUUGUAAACGGGACAAUGUUAUCGCAACAUUGCCAUGAUCAGAUAAUGAUAUCAUAUCGUCUGACUAGAUGACUAUUUCCCGUCAGACCUUGAUGAAUAUCUGGUGUUUUCCCUCUGCAUGUCUUCCUUGUUUUGUAUUUGCUGUGAUUCGUUUGCCAUUAGUCGAGCUGGGCGUGCAGGAAUUGAGCUUUCGGUUGGUGCUUGUUUCGUUGCUCUUCAGAUUCUGUGUCGGUGGGCUGGUGUGUGAUGCUGGUGGUGGAAGUGGCAUGGGCUUGGUGCUGCUGCAUGUGUGAUCUGUGAAGCUGGAUUUGGUGGAGAACAUGUGUGUGUUUGCUAGGUGAUAAGGUGAAGCAUAUGAGCUGUGUGCUGUUCAGUUCUUAGUUUAUUCUGGAGUCGAAGAACUGAGGACGCAUUGCUGGGAAGAUGCCUUGAGCUGUUCGCACUCGUGAAAUUCGUUCGUUAAUAUUUACUCCCUGCAAGUUUCAUAGUGUAUGCUGGCGAGAUUUGAUCUCGCUUUCCACGUCUUAAGUGCUCGCUGAAGGAGAGCCAGCAUUGGGAAGUUGGUUGUGGAGUUUGGUCAAGUAGAUAUUGUUUACUCCCAAAUUGGAUAUAAAAACACCAUUCUGAAAAAUAACAAAAAAACAAGGAUUUCAAAUGAACACCGAACUAGGUUUUUAUUUAUCUUGAUUGAACCAAAUUUUCAUCUGGGAGGUUUGGAUUUGGUAAAUGAAGUUGUAUGGAAAUCCAAUCGUUGUGCCUGGCUCGGUUGACAUUGGUAUAUAGACUAUGUUAUAUUGUUAAAUUACAAGCCUUCUACUUCAUCAAUUUCAAAUUAUAGGUUGUUUUGACUAUUUUAAAUUCGUAGCUGUUUGUAUGCAUCUAAAUAUAGUGUAGGUCUAGAUGCAUACAAACACUUAUGAAUUUAAAAAAGAUAAAAUGACCUAUAAUUUGAAAUGGAGGAAGUAUUAUCUAUAUUCUUUCUAGUUAAUACGUGUACUUGCGAAUCCCUGCAAUUUGAAUAAAUCAAGAUCUUACCAUAACUGCAAUUUUAGAGAGACGUAGAAGUACAAACAUGUGGGAUCGCUUCUGCAACUGGAUAACUAGCACCUAAAACCGUCUUUGUUUUGAUGAUCCCUAUCGCCGAAUUUCUUUUUUCUUGAAGGGAAGAAAAAAAAAUCAGAUCCUUCGUCCGGGGGAACCGAGGACGCAGGGGCGGAAACGUGCCGUGCCGGCUCCAACUGAGCUGACCCGAACCAACCCACCCCUCUCCGCGCCUGUCAUUCAUUUGUCGAGCCCCACACAGCUCCUCGUGGCGGAACUUGGCGGCGCCCUCUGACGGUAGUGACCUCUCCUUUCUCCUCGCCUUCGAUCGGCGGCCGCCUCCCCCUCCACUCCCGUCCCCUUCCGCUAGACGCCGCCACCGCCGCCGUCGCCAUGGCCAUGAAGGGACCCGGCCUCUUCUCCGACAUCGGCAAGAAGGCCAAGGGUACCUCCUCCUCGCCCUUCUCGUCAUCAUCAUCACCAUCACCUCUUUCCAGUCUAAUUGGUUUGGGUUUCCCCGUUUGUGGCUUGGUGAUCUGCAGAUCUGCUCACGAAGGACUACACCUACGAUCAGAAGCUGACCGUCUCCACCGUCAGCUCCUCUGGAGUGGUAAGGGUUCUUCCGAUCCGAUCGCGGUCGUGUGAUUCCAUGCUGCCUGGUUUCGUGUUCGCUUGUCCGUGCCCGCGAGGCCUGAUCUGGUUAUGGCUGUGGUGUUCAGCGUCGAGAUGUUGCUAGUUGCUAUGUGUGGCCUGUUAGGUGUUUGUUACCUUGCUGGUUUGGAGCUCUGUUUUACCAAGUACAUUGGUGUCUUGCGAUUUGCUUGGUCGUUGCAUCCGUAUGUUAGUAUCUGAGGGCACCAUGUGUCUGAUACUUGUUAAUUUUGUGGUAGAAUGAUAGGAAAUGGUACUUUGGUCAUAUUCUUGUAGAGCAAUGCAGUUGCUUAUUAUAGUUAUUUUAUUGUUUGUCGAGUAAGAUCAUUGAGUACCGCUCACACUGGAGGAGGCCUUGUAGUUAGCCAGUGUGUUUGAGAUGCUGUGUUUAGCCUCCAUCGCUACUGGAUCGGUGGUGGUCAUGAUCUCAGGCUAUCCUAGUUUGUGAAGUUGUGAACAUUGUCUGAAGAAAUUGGCUGGUUUUGACCUUGUUUGUUUUAUUCUUUUGUUGCUCAUGCCUUAGUUUUGCAACAAGUCGGUCAUAGUAGUCCUUCUGCCUGCCAUUCUUAUUACGAAAGUAAUGAUGAAGCUUAGCUGCUUGUACACUGGAGAAGUUGUACGGUCACAGUUGAAAUUAAUUUGGAUUGACUGGCACUUUCAACAUUGACCUAAGACAAUCCUUUCUAGAAGGUUCAAUUGUAAUACAACCUAUCAUGAUUUCUCCUGUCGCUGCUUUUUCUUUCACUGUGUUGGCAUAUGUACAUGAUGGACCUGUUUUCCAUUCUUAUUUAAUAAAUAUUUGGUUGUUCCACUUGCCAAAUUCUCACCUGUGUCUGUAUCUGACCAACACAAAUACAUUUCUGGUUCACAAUGUUGGUGUUUUGAGCAUUGAUACCUGAUACUUCACAAUUGAUGUAUCCAAUGAUGGGAAUUCGAAUUUGUGCAGUUACAUUUUCUUCCUGCUUUUUAAACCUGAUUUCAUCAGUUACUUUAGAAUUUCUUCUAGAAACUUACAAUCACUAGAUGCUUUCAUUGGAUGUACUGAUUUAUUGAUCUCACAAAAUGGGCUUUCAAGCUGUGCAAUUAGUGCUCUCAUUCUGCACAAGAAUAUACAUUGAUCUAUAAUCAUGUUCUUAAAAUAAAUCAAAGUUAUGUCUGGUGAAUUCCUGAAUGCUUUUCUUUUUUUUUUUUGGAAAUUGCAAAUUGGACACUCAAACAUGAGUUGGAUCCAGCACCCGUAUAACACUGAAUAUGUCAGUACCAAUAUGCCAUUACACUUUAUCAUCAGUCUUAUUGUAGCAAUGCAAUGUUCAUUAGCCAGAUUGAACUCUCGCAAAAGCUGUCUUUACUUGAGCAUGAUAUAUCUAUUAAUUAAACUAAAGUGCAAAUUGGUGAUUCAUUAAUAUAGUGGUGGGUUAAAGUGUCAACUAGUUAUCAGGAGUCCAUUCUCCUGAUAGUAACAUUACCAAUUAUUUUGCUCAUUUUAAGUUUGAAAAAUAAGACUAGAUGUACACAACUGCAUGGAUAGUGCUGACCACCCUAUAAUUUGUUGAAACUACAGAGAUAAUCUUAUAUAGAUUAUAUGCAUUUUCAAAAUGCAUGGGCUAUUAUCUUAUGUGCUUUGUUUGCUUUGACAUAAUAUUUUUCUUCUUUCAGCAACAGUGAACUGAUAUAUUCUUUAUAUCAUUUUCAUUUUAAGAUUGUUAGUAAAGUUAAUUGUGAUGACAGUACUAGUGCAUUUUCUGCUGUUUGAGGCUUUUUCUUUAUAUAUGAAUUAGCCCUUUAUAAACUUGCUUUUCAUGGCUCUCUUUUUUAUCUUUUUUUUUUCAGGGCCUCACUUCCACAGCUGUGAAGAAAGGAGGGCUUUAUACUCUUGAUGUCAGUUCAGUUUACAAGUACAAGAAUACUGUUGUUGAUGUUAAAGUGGACACGGAAUCAAACGUUAGUGACAUUAAACAUAAAAAUUUAUGCAUUCUCUAUUUGUAGCCUAUAGCUAGACAUAAAUCUAUAGCACUUUUGUAUGAUUCCUGCAGAUCUCUACUACCUUGACUGUGUUGGAUGCCCUGCCAUCCACAAAGCUUGUGACGUCUGUGAAGCUGCCUGACUACAAUUCUGGAAAGGUAUUUUCAUUUGCUGUCAAUUUAUGGUUGGUGAAUUGAAAACAGGUCCUUGAGUGUAAAUGUUCUUUGUACCAGGUGGAACUGCAUUACUUCCAUGAGAAUGCAAGUCUUGCUACUGUUGUUGGCACGAAGCCCUCUCCUGUGGUUGAACUUUCUGGGACAGUAGGUGCUCAAGGAGUUGCUUUUGGUGCGGAAGCUGGAUACGACACAGCUUCAGGAAAAUUUACCAAGUACACUGCUGCAAUUGGUGUAACCAAGCCAGACUACCAUGCUGCAUUCAUUCUGUAAGUCCACACUUACACUGUGAUUUGUGUGGUAUGAGGCUGGAACACAAUUAUUGAUACAUCACGCAUGCUUGUGCAGGGCCGACAAAGGUGACACCAUCAAAGUGUCAGGUGUUUACCACCUUGAUGAGAAGCAGAAGGCCUCAGCUGUGGCUGAACUAACCCGGAGGCUCUCAACAAAUGUGAACACACUCACUGUUGGUGGCCUCUACAAGAUCGAUCCUCAGACAGCUGUGAAGGCAAGGCUCAACAACACUGGAACGCUCGCCGCGCUUCUCCAGCACGAGCUUAAACCCAAGUCACUCUUGACAAUCUCCGGUGAAUUCGACACCAAGGCCCUGGACAGGGCCCCCAAGUUUGGCCUGGCACUCGCGCUGAAGCCCUGAUCAGAUCAUCCGCGGUCGAUUGCCGGUGAAUUCCGAAUUCUUUGGUUGUUUUUUUGCAAAGCUGUAACCAAUAAUCUGUUCCACGAACCUGUUCCGUUAAUCUGGCAAAGGUUUGACGCUCCGUGGGAAGGAUCCGGAUGGGUCGUCUGCAGGAUUUUUACCCAUCAACAGUUUUUUUGUUGUCGAAGGCAUCUGUAGAUGUAUGCCGCUUGUUUCUUUAGCGUCUAGGCUCUCUGCCACUGUGAGUACUGAGUAGCCGCCAUGGUAAUCUUUUGCAUGCAGAAACUACAUGUCAUAUUUGUGCGGUGUUGAUUGAUGCACCGCAGAAUGAGAUUUACCACCUGUUUUGAGCUCAUUGAUCAUGUGCAUGUGGUGUUCGUCCGCUGGUGCUAUGUUUUUGUUACUGCUCUCUUGACGUUUCUUGGGAGUGGAUUCCUGGACUGGUAUAUGCUUCAUCGGCGUGCCGUCGAGGCGGGACGGCGAGAGGUCUCACCGAGCCACCGAUGAAGUCGAAUCUUCAGCAGCAGGCUGCAGGCGGCUGUACUGUAUACGGACUACGGUGAAGGCCGCCGGUGCGCGCGCAACCACUGGGGUAAAGGCAAACGCCCGACCGCAGGAAUUCGGAGCUGCGCAUCUCGGCUGUAGCUUUCACGUGCCCCUCGAUUCCAUUCUUUUUAUUUGGCUUCGGUGGCGAGUCACAUGGCCACAAGCACAGCUCCCGACCUCCCGUGUGGCAAAUGUCGCAGACUUGCAGUCGCAGGCGCCCAUCCCCUACCUACCAUCAUCAGACAACGGCGUGGCGCUCGGGCCCUCUGUAUUUGCUGCUCAUCUCAUCUCCAUCCAGAAAUCCAGAUCAUCCUCCUGCGCAUCGCGGUCGCGGCUGGCCCCUACGGCCAUCGCGAGCGACGACACCAACGUGCGGGGGCGGGGAGGUGGCAGACGGAGCCUCUCCAGUCUCCACAGACCACAGCCGCGCAUGACAGCAACCCGCCUGCAUUUCCGGCUCCAGUACAUUUCGUUUCACCCAGGAAGGAGAACCUGAUUCCACGCAGCGACCAGCCCGGCAUCCCGGCCCAGCCACAGCCAGGGCCAACACCCUCUUCGACCCGACGCCAGCCAGCGCCGGUAGCGCAGGCACCGCGCCCACGCCCGCGCCCCCGCUCACCCCGGCGAUGCGCCGCGCCCCGCGCUCGUGACCCAUGGCCUCGCUCUCCGUUCCUCCCACGCUCCCGCGGGCCUCGCCAGCGGUGGUGGGCGCGGCGAGGUGGAGGAGGGCCGCGGUGCGGGUGCGCGGUCGCACUGCCGCCGCGGCAUUGGGCGGUGGGUGCGGCGGCGGAGGAGGAAUGGAGCAGCGCCACGGGGACGGCCCGCACAGCCCAGGUAACUCGCUAACUCGUCGCUUGUGUAGAGAGAUAAGAUGAAUUUGGGAAUUACACCACACGCCAGGAGGAGGUGACAUUUCAUAUAGACUAGACCGGCUUGGUGUACAAGUAUAUAACUACAAGAGAUAUAUGAUACGUGUACAUAUCGUAGGCUAUACAUAUCUCUAAUACCUGCCCGCAGUCGCAGCGGGAGGUUCUUGAACACAAAGACUGGACCUGAAAUCAGUGAACAACUGUACUGGUAAGCCUUUGGUCAUGAUGCCCGCAAACUGGUGCGACGAUGGAACAUGAAGCACGCGAAACUGUCCUAGUGCAACCUUCUCGCGGACGAAGUGGAUGUCGAUUUCGAUAUGCUUGGUGCGGCGGUGGUGAACAGGAUUUGCUGUCAUAUAGACCGCACUUACAUUAUCACAAUAGACAACCGUCGUCGUAGCAACUGAAAUGUGAAGCUCCUGAAGAAGCUAGCGCAGCCAACAACAUUAAUGUCAUGGUAGAGAAGGGCAAGGUUUCCUAGAUGAUUCUGCUAAGUCUUCACUCAAAAUAUCCUAAUCGUACAGUAUGGCUGAGUAACAAUGUUAUUGACAAUGACGAGGAGACUUACUUAAGGGGUUACUAAUUGCUAACUACAUGGGAGGGGUGGUGGUUCCAAAUAAACUUGAAGUGUGACGAGUCCAUGACAUACAUCUUAUGGUUGAAGGUAAAAGCUAAUGAAAAGUUGUUUAGUUCUUAUAGUUCACGAUGGUAGGCUUGGCAGUAAGAAGAUGAAGGAUAAUAGGUAGAAAAGCAAAGAAAGCACUUUGAUUUAUGUGUUAUUUUAGGAUGUGGAUAAUUCUCCACACGAGAAGGUUUAGUUUUUCAUGAUUUCCUAUAAAAGAAGAAUUUCUAAUUUUUAGAUAUGAUACUGGGAAGGAGGAACAACAACAACAACAUAAUCUUUCAGUACCAAGCAAGUUAGGGUAGGCUAGAGUUGAAACCCAACAAGAGCCACAAAUUAGGGUUAGGGCACAUGAAUAGCUGUUUUCCAAGCACUCCUAUCCAGGGCUAAAUCUUUGGGUAUAUUCCAUCCCUUCAAAUAUUCUUUUAUUGCCUCUUCCUAUGUCAAUUUUGGUCUUCCUCUACUUCUCUUCACAUUCUAUCACGCCUUAGGGUUCUACUACGCACCGGUGCCUUCGGAGGCCUUCGUUGGACAUGUCCAAACCAUCUUAGCCGAUAUUGGAUAAGCUUUUCUUCAAUCGGUGCUACCCCUAACCUAUCAUGUAUAUCCUCAUUCCGGACUCGAUCCCUUCUCGUAUGACCACAAAUUCAACGCAACAUACGCAUUUCUGUAACACUUAUCUGCUGGACAUGUCGUCUUCUUGUAAGCCAACAUUCUGCACCAUACAACAUUGCAGGUCUAAUCGUCAUCCUAUAAAACUUACCUUUUAGCUUCAAUGGUACCCUCUUGUCAUAUAAAAUUCCUGAUGUUUGGCACCACUUCAUCCACCCCGCUUUGAUUCUAUGACUAAGAUCCUCAUCAAUAUCCCUAUCUCGUUGUAGCAUUAAUCCCAAAUAUCGAAAUAUAUCCUUCAUGGACACUACUUGGCUUUCCAAACUGACAUCUCCCUCCUCAUGUGUAGUAGUGCUAAAAACACAUCUCAUAUAUUCAGUUUUAGUUCUGCUGAGUCUAAAACCUUUUGACUCUAGGGUCUCCCGCCACAACUCUAGUUUCCUAUUUACUCCUGCUCGACUUUCAUCAACUAGCACUACAUCAUCCGCAAAGAGCAUACACGAAGGGAAAUAGAUAAGGGCUCAAAGCAGACCCUUGAUGCAGUCCUAUUUUAAUCGGAAAGUCAUCUGUGUUGCCAUCACUUGUUCGGACUCUAGUUACAACAUUGUUGUACAUGUCCUUAAUAAGUCCAAUGUACUUCGUUGGGACUUUAUGUUUAUCCAAAGCCCACCACAUAACAUUCCUUGGUAUUUUAUCAUAUGCCUUCUCCAAGUCAAUGCAAAGUAUGUGUAGGUCCUUCUUCUUCUCCCUAUACCGCUCCAUAACUUGUCUUAUUAAGAAAAUAACUUUCAUGGUUGACCUUCCAGGCAUGAAACCAAAUUGGUUCAUAGAGACCCGUGUUAUCCUUCCCAAAUGAUGGUCGAUAACUCUCUCCCAUAGCUUCAUAAUAUGGCUCAUCAACUUAAUUCCUCGGUAAUUAGUACAACUUUGAAUAUCUCCCUUAUUCUUGUAUAUUGGUAGCAGUAUACUUCUCCUCCACUCUUCCGGCAUCUUGUUCGACCGAAAAAUAUGGUUGAACAGCUAUAUCCCCGAGGCAUCUCCACACCUUAAUUGGGAUACCAUCCGGGCCCAUCGCCUUACCACUUUUCAUCCUUUUCAACGCCUCUCUGACCUCAGAUUCUUGGAUCUUCCGCACAAAGUGCCUGUUGGUGUCAUCAAAAGAGUCAUCCAACUGCAAGGUUGUGUUCUCAUUCUCACCAUUGAACAAUUUAUCAAAAUACUCUUGCCAUCUUUGUUUGAUCUCAUCCUCCUUUACCAAGAUGUUCUCUAUUUCAUCCUUAAUGCACUUAACUUCGUUGAAGUCCCUCGUCUUUCUCUCACGAACCUUAGCCAUCCUAUAGAUGUCCUUCUCUCCUUACUUCGUACUUAAUCGUUGGUAAAGAUCCUCAUACGCCCUACCCUUUUCCACACUUACAGCUCGCUUUGCGAUCUUCUUUGCCUCCUUGUACUUCUCUAUGUUGUCCACACUCCUAUCUUGGAACAAGCGCCUAUAGCAUUCUUUCUUCUCCUUAAUAGUCCUUUGGACUUCCUCAUUCCACCACCAAGUAUCUUUAUCUACGCCUCUACCCCCCUUGGUUACUCCAAGCACCUCCGAGGCCACCUUCCGAAUGCAGUUUGCCAUAUUCUCCCACAUGUUGUUUGCGUCCUCUCCUUCCUUCCAAGGGUCCUCUUUGAUUACCCUUUCCUUGAAGACCUUUGACGUCUCCUCUUUCAAUUUCCACCACUUUGUUCUUGCAAUCUUGGCUUGUUUAACCCUGCGUGCGCGCAUCUGAAAACGAAAGUCUGCCACCACAAGCUUAUGUUGAGAAACAACACAUUCCCCAUGUAUCAUCUUGCAAUCCAAGCAUGCCCGUUUAUCCUCUCUUCUUGUGAGGAUAAAGUCAAUCUGGCUAUAGUGUUGGCCACUACUAAAAGUCACUAAAUGGGACCAUCUCUUCCUAAAUAAAGUGUUCGCUAUCAUCAAGUCAAAAGCUACUGCAAAGUCCAAGACUUCCUCUCCCUCCUGAUUCCUACUACCAUACCCAAAACCUUCAUGAACCGCCUUGAAGCCUGCACUUGUUGUACCUACAUGUCCGUUAAGAUCUCCUCCUAUGAAAAGCUUCUCGCUAGAAGGUACAGUUCUAACCAGGCUAUCUAAAUCUUCCCAGAAAAGCCUUUUAGCACUCUCAUCGUGGCCUACUUGGGGGGCAUACGCACUAAGUACGUUCAGGACCAUAUCACCAACGACAAGCCUAACUAUGAUAAUCCUAUCCCCCUGCCUUCUCACGUCCACCACUCCAUCCUUGAGACUCUAGUCAAUCAAAACUCCCACUCCAUUUGUAUUUGCAGCUGUCCCUGUGUACCAAAGCUUGAAACUGGUAUUGUCCACCUCCUUCGCCUUCUGGCCCUUCCAUUUAGUCUCUUGAAUGCAUAAGAUAUUUACACGCCUCCUAGUCGCUACGUCAACUAACUCUCUUAACUUACCUGUAAGAGACCCUACAUUCCAACUACCUACAUGAAUCCUAGUUGGUUCGACUAGCUUCCUUGCCCUUUGACCCGUCGAGAGAGAUGUGAAGACCCUUACACAUUUUUCACUACACCCGGGCGCUGAUGUAGCGGGCCACUAAGGAAAUGACGAUCCGAUCCUUGCUCACUUGACACUAUGCCCAGAUCGCGACAUGGCGCGUCACCAAGGGGGAGACGACCUGGCCCUCGCCCAUUUAACCCCAUACCCGGGUUCCGAUAUGGCGCGUCGCGAAGAGGGUUACGCCCCAACGGAUUUCUCUUUGGUUUCAUCUCCAUUAGAAUGGCUAGGUUUAACGUUGGCUCGCCAAGCCUAUCGCAACCCUCCUCCUUUACCAGGGUUUAGGACCUGCUAUGUUGAGACAACAUAGGCGGAGUUGAUACUGGGAAGGAAACCAUCAUAAAAAAAUAUAUGUCGUGGCUUUGUCUGUAUAGGUUUAUUUGCUUUGUUAUUGUUGUACUAAUGAAUUUGAUAACAAGAGGAACAGGGCCGCACUAACAAUUUACGGAUAUCCAUCAUCAGUGAAGGAGAAGCCUGUAAUGUCAAACAUUGGGAAAUCAACUAAUAUUUUAUGGCAUAAUUGCCCGAUUGGACAAUCUGAUAGACAGAAGUUGCUGGGACAAAAAGGCUGUGUUGUAUGGAUCACAGGACUCAGUGGUUCAGGUAUAUUUUCAGUAGAUUGUUGCCUUGAUCUACAUGCUGCUGGCCAUAGUUUCCUUUUCCACAUUCUUGGUUAGGUUUCUAUGAGGGAAUUUCCUGUUCUUUUUAUCAAAAAUAGUUUCUGGAUGCUAUUGUUGCCAUAAGUUUUGAAGUUAAUUUGGUAGCCUUUGUGAUAGAAAGCAAGAAUUAGUCAUUUGCUUUGGGCAUUCAAUCUCAACUAAUAUGCUCAUGCAGGUUUAGAGCUGUUUCCCAGUUACUUUUACAUACGUUAUUUCCUUGCCAUCUGAAUCUGAUUAUGUUGAACUAAAUUAGACUUCAGAUUGAACAUGCAUAUAACAUAAAUACUUCUUUCAUAGGCUUCCUACAUGAGUUAAAUCCACAUAUUAGUUUGAUAUCUGCUCUACAGGCAACUGAGUGCUGGCAUCUUGAUUACCAUUAGCUACUCAGCAUGUAAUGUUGCCCUGUUGUCGCAUAAACUUUUCAUUGGCUGGUACGCUGCUAAAUUAAUAUCUCCACGAUAAGUACCAAAUCUGGUGUGGUGUAUUGGCAUCAGUACGGGAAAAAGUCUUGCACUCUCACUCUGAUGAUUCUUCUACUAGGUUCAUUUUGAAAUCUAUUUUCUUUAUCUUUUAGCACUUCCCUCUGCUACACAGUGAUUGUUUGAUAGUGGUAACACAUCACCUGGUGAUUGUCUUUGCAAUGUUGUUCAUACAGACUGUUUUUCCUUCCCUCUUGCAUGCCAUUCUAAGUUAGCCCCUGCCGCAUCCUGAGCAUUAUUCCUACCAUUACAUUUAUAUUUCAGUUUAUUUUGGCUAGCAUGAGUCAAAGCUUAUGUUUUCUCCAUUCUCUUGUAUCUACAAAAGUAUACGACACAAAGGAAAUUAGCAUCUUUUUAUGUUUCAGGGAAAAGUACUCUUGCAUGUGCAUUGAGUCGGGAGUUACAUUGCAGAGGCCACCUCACGUAUGUCCUUGAUGGCGACAACCUCAGACAUGGCCUAAAUCGAGAUUUAAGCUUCAAGGCAGAAGACCGUGCAGAAAAUAUACGAAGAGUUGGUAAGUUCUGAAGAAAAGAAGAUGGUUCACUAGAAGUUCUUUCACUAUAGCUAAAUCUUUCGUGCAGGAGAAGUGGCAAAGCUUUUUGCGGAUGCUGGUAUCAUUUGCAUUGCUAGCUUGAUAUCUCCAUACAGGAGAGACCGUGAUGCAUGCCGUGCUCUACUUCCGGAUUCUAAAUUUAUUGAAGUAUGCUUACUUAUGAUUCUCUUAAGUCUUGUUAGUGAUAAUCAUCUAUCUAACUACAUGCAAGCUCUGUAGGUAUUUAUGGAUUUGCCCCUAAAAAUUUGUGAAGCUCGUGAUCCUAAAGGUCUGUACAAGCUUGCACGCACAGGAAAGAUUAAAGGUACAAGCGACUGUAGUACUAGUUAAAUGUCAACCAAUACAGCUUAGCUGCUAUAAUAUGAGUUUGUGUAGUCUUACUUCAAUCAUUGCCUUUUGAAAAACAGGUUUCACUGGAAUUGAUGAUCCAUAUGAACCACCAGUGAACGGUGAGGUGAGCCUAAAGAGCAUGUCUUACUCUUACUUCCUAUGUGCCCGCACCUUACAAUUUCCAUAUAGUAACUGGAUAUGAAAUAUAAAGAGACCUCGCUAUUGAUGUAGUGGUUCUUGACGUCAUUGAUCAUUAUGCUGGGGCUGCAUCUGUUUAGUACAAACAAGCACUUCCUCUAUGCUCUUAUGCCUUAUCAUUGAGAUAUUUGAGAUAUAGAACUACUAGCAUUUCCUUUUAUUCCUAUUGUGAUUCCCAUGCUCCAAUAUUCAGAGAACUAGCAAAAUGUUACAAGGUUAAAAUUAAACGGCGCUUUGCAUUUUUAUAUGAUAAUGUCCAUAAUGGACUACUUAAAGCGAUGACAUGAGAACUGAUUGCUAUUAGCUAUGAGUUGAGUUGAUGUAAUGUCUGAAUGACAUGCAUACAAGCAUACAGCUGAAUUCUGAUUAGCAACUUUAGAGACGAGAUCAAUAUUUUUCUUACAUUUUUAGAUAUGUUUUCCUUGUUAAAGUUGAGUUAACACAUUUCAUUAAUAAGCAAUUUAGCUUGUUCAUCAUUCAGCAAUCAACAUUAACCCUUCACUUCUAUUGCCCCCACAUAAAUGCAAAUUCAGCCACUUGUUUUCAAAAAAUGGUUGCUCUUUGCGUGAUCUUAUGCAGAUAGUAAUUCAGAUGAAAGAUGGGGAAUGCCCUUCACCCAAAGCAAUGGCCAAGCAAGUUAUGUGCUAUCUUGAAGAGAAUGGAUGUUUGCAAGCUUAGCACAUACGUGAGAAGAUUGAUCUGAUUCUUUUGUGUCCAUUACUCGUGGACACAAGCAUGAUCCAUUGAUCCAGAAUAAAAGGCAUCGUCACAAAGCAAGCAACAGAGUACAGAGGUGCAGUUCAUUCAGAGAAAGAUACUGAUUCAUCUUAUUGUUGAGGCUAUUUGUUUUGUGUGUGUGUAUUGUGCUUGUACAGCCGCAAUGUACAUCAGCAAUUCAGCACGCACUGGUUUAACUCGCGUUGACCGCUGCGCGUGAAGGCUGAUGGGUGUUUGCGAGUUGUGUUGGUAAUGUAUUUGAUACCAAUAAAUACAAAUAAAUUAUCCAAUUUGUACAUGACUCGUUUCCACUUGGAAUAAAAGUCAAGGAAAGUUGUAACACCUUCCAUAGAGUUCAUACCUCAUGCUGUCUCCUCCGCUGUUGCCGUUUCUCACUAAGGUAGCGUUUGGUUCAGCCGUUUUGCGGUGUAAUCGGAUCACGCUGUGAUUUGAAUACGAUUAUUUUGUGUUUGGUUUGCCCGGUCCGUAAAUGGCUACCAUGGUAUCUGAUAUAGCCUUGUACGAUUCUGAUACCACCCAAGAUCUGCCGUAUCAACUUCCUCGCAGGCCCCGUCUCCUCGCGUCAUGUUGAUUCGUUUUUUUCCUAGCCAACUAAUCACCUCUGCUACCGCCCAUCUUCAUCGCCCCAGAUGCAAAUCGCAUUCCUUAGCUGCGCCGCAAUUUGAUCUUCCGUCGUCUCUUCCGUUGUCGCCGUGAAAGUGCCGCCGCCGCCGCAGAGGCCAUCUGCCUCGCCAUAGGCUUCUUCGGCCGCCCUUCGAGAUGGGAAGGAUACAAAGCCACGGUCUAUGGAGCUGGUACUAAAGCGAAGCAAAUUGAAGCAGCAAAUUGAGGUGAAUCCAUCUGAUCGGUACUGGCGAGAUCCAUGGCGGCCUCGUCGUCUCUGUCGUCCUGAUCGAAGCUGCGGCACAAGCUGUUCACCCACGGUGCGCUGGUACUUCGGCCAGGGAACGUUGCCGACACGGGGGCACAGAGAGGGGCCAGAGGUGGCGCGGCGGGGCGGCCGCGGGGAGUUCCACUGUGACGCGCUUAAGCUACACCGCUCAACUUUGACGAGCCGCGAGGAAGACGACGCAUCGGAGGGAUGAGCUCUGUAAUGAGUUUCCAAUACCGUGGCUAAACCAAACAAAUGACGGUUUUUGUUACACGGUAACAGUACCACUGCCUAUCAAUUACGUUAGCGUACCGCUGGUUUGGCUGAACCAAACACCACCUAAAUGGGAACGGGCUUACAAACAUUUCCACAGAAAAGCUGCAUCUUUUUUGCUUAUUUCUUUCACAGAUAAAAUAUGAUCACCACUUCUCGGUGUCUGUUAUAUUCAUAUCUUCAUUGAUCUUGUUGGUCUUUUUUUUCGCCCUCCCAGGGCACACAUCUUCUGAUCUUCACGCCCUGAUACCACAAUCCACUAAUCCAGUAUUGUAAAUUGUAAUCAUGAUCAUCCAAGCAUGCACAGCACUGACAGUGGGGGAGCCGCAAAGCAGCGGGAAAUGAAAUGAGCGCCUGACAUCAGGUGCCCGUGCCAAUACGGCCGACCAGCACCUGAUCCCGGUCUCUGACCGAUCAAGCAUGGAAGCAACGACGCAUCCCAUUGGGCAGAGCCGCUGCAAAUCUUUUUCCACAGGGCUUCGGCAGCAUGAUGACCUGAAAAGCUCCAAGUUGCAUGUGCUGCUUUGGAAUUUGGAUGGAUCGUCCCUCUGGUCAGUGGGCUCCCCACCCAGCACUCACUCGCUGCGCCGACUGGCGGCUGCUUGCCUGCUUCCUGUCGCCUUCGAGGCUGAGGUUCCAAGUCAUGGCAUCCAUACUCCGAACUGAGCUUCCGGGUUCUGACCACUUUUCUCCUACUCGGAUGAAGAAAAGAAAAAUUGAGCUAUGAAAAUUUGGGACUUGGUGGUGAGGUUAGGGCAGAACUCACAUCGCAGGCAUACGGUAAGGCCAUUGUCCAUGUGCGUCCAAAGUUACCUAACCAACAGCACAAGGAAACAAAAGGGGAGGAUUGCCUGAGCUCCGAAGUCCAGCCUUCUUCCUCCACCCUUUGAAUUCUCCGUCAGACGGUAGCAAGGCAUGUGCGUGCGCGUACGGCGUAGCUGCGUAGGCGACGGAGUACGUGCGCCUGCUUCUGUUGUCUACGGAGAAUUAGCGGCGGUAAACAAUGCGGGGAAGCUCAGCUCAGUUCGCCCCCAGGUCAACUCGUGCGAACCAAACUGUUCUUGGCCGUCGAUCACUGCCGGCCUCACGUUUCGUUGCGUGAUUUUGAUCCGGUCAAAGUCGCAGCAGGACGAAACAAAAAA
RNAcentral lists this long non-coding RNA (28044 nucleotides) under Setaria viridis. RNAcentral's name for it is "long non-coding RNA (SVIR_LNC011399)". The record is from RNAcentral. Lineage: Eukaryota; Viridiplantae; Streptophyta; Magnoliopsida; Poales; Poaceae.